This 318-nucleotide ribosomal RNA is filed under the name uncultured eukaryote. Its description in RNAcentral is "partial 18S ribosomal RNA". It matches the Rfam family "Eukaryotic small subunit ribosomal RNA", at positions 1470 to 1796 of the family's 1831-position model. The record is from RNAcentral.
CCCUUAGAUGUCCUGGGCCGCACGCGUGCUACACUGACGCAUACAGCGAGCACUUUCCAGUUCCGAGAGGCUACUGGUAAUCAUCAAUAUGCGUCGUGAUGGGGAUAGAUCUUUGGAAUUCUGGAUCUUGAACGAGGAAUGCCUAGUAAUCGCAGGUCAUUAGCUUGCGAUGAUUAAGUCCCUGCCCUUUGUACACACCGCCCGUCGCUACUACCGAUUUCGAGUGGUCAGGUGAAUCUUUCGGACUGUGGGCGCCCUUGAGGUGUUCGCGGAAAGUCAGGUAAAUCUUAUCACUUAGAGGAAGUAAAAGUCGUAACA